GUAUCAGGUUUCUUCCAUGCUAAAGAAAUAGGCCAUGGAACAAGCAUUUAAGUCAAUGAUGACCCAAGCACCACCAAACUCAUUUGGCUCCAACUCGUCUUUCCCAUUUGGCAUGCCACAACAGGCAUAUCCUACUGCACCAAGCAGUUUUUCGUACUUGGAACUAAAGAAAGAUACCUCCCCACAGGUGUCAACUGUUGAUGUCUCAGCUACCGAAGUGGAUGCCGCUGGAACAUCGAAAGAGGUGGAUGUGACUGAGACACCAAAACCCUCUAAGAAAUUUGCAUUUGUUGAUGUUUCUCCCGAAGAUUUGCGGCAAAAGGACCUCCAAUCUUCACUGGAGAUGGUAGAUGUAAAACAUGAUAGUACAGAAAGUGAAACUAAGGAGGAUACUGAGG
Zea mays is the source of this 398-nucleotide RNA transcript. RefSeq lists it as uncharacterized. The transcript has 3 exons. NCBI's taxonomy places the organism in Eukaryota, Viridiplantae, Streptophyta, Magnoliopsida, Poales, Poaceae. The record is from RefSeq and is a predicted model, not a curated record.